RNAcentral lists this transfer RNA (69 nucleotides) under Orthopsittaca manilatus (Red-bellied macaw). Its description in RNAcentral is "tRNA-Lys". Lineage: Eukaryota; Metazoa; Chordata; Aves; Psittaciformes; Psittacidae. The record is from RNAcentral.
CAUUAAGAAGCUAUGUACCAGCACUAGCCUUUUAAGCUAGAUAAAGAGGGAGCCCCCCCUCCUUAAUGA